CCCUUAGAUGUUCUGGGCCGCACGCGCGCUACACUGAUGCGUUCAACAAGCCUAGCCUUGACCGAGAGGUCCGGGUAAUCUUUGAAACUGCAUCGUGAUGGGGCUAGAUUAUUGCAAUUAUUAAUCUUCAACGAGGAAUACCUAGUAAGCGUGAUUCAUCAAAUCGCGUUGAUUACGUCCCUGCCCUUUGUACACACCGCCCGUCGCUCCUACCGAUUGAAUGUGUUGGUGAGGAGCUCGGAUUGGCAGCAGUUGGUGGUUCGCCACCGGCUAUUGCUGAGAAGUCCUCCAAACCGCCCCAUUUAGAGGAAGGAGAAGUCGUAACA
This 326-nucleotide ribosomal RNA is filed under the name uncultured eukaryote. Its description in RNAcentral is "partial 18S ribosomal RNA". It matches the Rfam family "Eukaryotic small subunit ribosomal RNA", at positions 1470 to 1796 of the family's 1831-position model. The record is from RNAcentral.